Argentina anserina (silverweed cinquefoil) is the source of this 1451-nucleotide long non-coding RNA. RefSeq lists it as uncharacterized. The transcript is spliced from 5 exons. Lineage: Eukaryota; Viridiplantae; Streptophyta; Magnoliopsida; Rosales; Rosaceae. The record is from RefSeq and is a predicted model, not a curated record.
GUGUGAGAGAGAAAUAAACCCGGUGCUGAUAAGGUCGUCGUAGCAGCAGCUCCGGAGGGCCCACCGCGGGCUUUGGAUCGGAAAUUCUCUCAGGUGUUCGGCGAGCGUACAGCCGGUGAAGAAGUUCAGGAAGAUACGCAUUGAAACAAGGCUACUCCGAAUCAUCCUCCGGUUCUGCUGGGCCGCCUCAAUUGAGGUUCAAGCUCAACCCUGAAGAUGAUUCGAAUUUCUUGGAGGAUGAGAACACCAAGAUGUUCACAAGAAAGGUGGCGGAUCAUUACAGUGCAAGGAAAAAUCAAACUUUGGAGGAGCGAGAUGCUAGUCCGAUUAUGCAUUUGAAAAAGCUGAACAAUUGGAUUAAGAGUGUCUUGAUUCAGCUGUAUGCUUGCCGUGGCGACUCUGUUCUUGAUCUUUCUUGUGGCAAGGGAGGGGAUCUAAUUAAGUAGGACAAGGCUAAAAUUGGGUACUACGUUGGUAUCGACAUUGCUGAGGGAUCGGUAAGUGCUGAAAUCUUGUAAUAGUAAACUCCAUUAGCUGACAUUCUUUUUAUAAAUACAUUGUUACAGCGAUGGAAUCAUUUUUAAUUGUCUGUCUAUGCUGUUCAUCAAAGUUUGUCUUUCAUUUGGAGUCUAGAGUAUCAUUCUAGAAUCAUUUUUCAUUGUUUUGCCAUGGAAUUACUGGCCUCAAACUUAUUAGGUGUAAGUUUGUACCAUACUUGUAGAUUUCUAGUUGGUUUAAGUUAAAACUAUAAAGAAGCAUUUUGUAUUCAGGUCUGUAGUUUGUGUUCUUGUUCACUAUUAAGUGUUGUAGAGUGCUCAUUAGAAUCUUGUUUGGUGUGGGUUGAAGAUCUCUGUCUUGUGAAUAAACUUGCAGAAAUUUCUAGUCUGAUGAUAUUCAAUUAAUUUAUAUAGUCCUAAGAGAUUUUAUAGAAUCUUCGUGUUUGAUUCAAUUAAUUUCUGGAGUCCCAAAUUGAGAGGUUUUAUCAUGUGUUUGAUCUUGGUUUUUGAUCAUUCCAACAGAUAUAGGGUACUAGUCUCUGAACUUUGCUUGUUUGUUAUUCACUUGUUUUGAUUUUGAUUUUUUUGUUCUGAGAAAGAAAUAAAACACUGGAGACAACCUGAUAAUAUGUUGAUUCAUCACAUACUCUUCGUAACAGUAUGAUCACUAUUGUUCGUGGUACUACCCUUCUUCAUUCAUUUUUUCCAAGUAUGCGUUUUGCUUUUGGGGGUGUAUUUCCUGAGGACAAGGUAUCUAUGUAUCUGUGCUCAGUUCUUGUCAAGACAUGCUGAUGCCUUUUUAGUUCUGAUAUUUUAAUUUAACUUUAUAAUGUUAUGUUUUAAAAUAUUCACAGAUAGAGGAUUACCGUACCCGUUACAAUGUUUUAUAAAGUGUUAGGAUUUUAGUCUGUAUAACACUUCUGUUUAUCUAUUUUGAACUUGGUGGUCUCUCGU